RNAcentral lists this ribosomal RNA (195 nucleotides) under Staphylococcus aureus. Its description in RNAcentral is "partial 16S ribosomal RNA". It matches the Rfam family "Bacterial small subunit ribosomal RNA", at positions 1 to 190 of the family's 1533-position model. The record is from RNAcentral. Lineage: Bacteria; Bacillati; Bacillota; Bacilli; Caryophanales; Staphylococcaceae.
UUUAUGGAGAGUUUGAUCCUGGCUCAGGAUGAACGCUGGCGGCGUGCCUAAUACAUGCAAGUCGAGCGAACGGACGAGAAGCUUGCUUCUCUGAUGUUAGCGGCGGACGGGUGAGUAACACGUGGAUAACCUACCUAUAAGACUGGGAUAACUUCGGGAAACCGGAGCUAAUACCGGAUAAUAUUUUGAACCGCA